AAAAAAGGCUGCAGAGCUUCCUGCAAGGGGCUAAUAAAAAAGCCCCGCUCCAUCACUGCGGCUGUGAUGUGUGACUAAAGCCCAUCUUCCCUCCACUGGGAGCAGAGGAGCCCUGCCCAGUCUGACUGCUGCCCAGUGCUGCUCCCUGACUGCACGCUCUCUUGGUGAGCCUCUGUCCUGCUGGCCGUGCCUUUUCUGUCCCCGUCCCCGUGCCGCUCCGUGCCCGUCUUUACCCUCCCGAGCACGUGGCGUGGUCGAUUCCUGUCUCCCGGUCCUGGUUUCCCUUUUUGUCUCUGUGUCCCUGCGUCCUUGCUGUGUGUUUGGGACUCCGUCUUUUUGUCUGUCCUUCUCCGUGCCUCACUCGUGUUCCCGUUCUGUUCCCUGUGGCUCUGUGGUGCUCCCCGUGCCAUUGUUUCCCCCAGGAUCCUUGUGUCCCGUUCGCUGCCCCUGUUCUUUUUUAAUCCCUCUCUCGUGCUGCCCAUCUAGCAUCCCUUUUUUGUGGUUUUGUUUUCUAUUUUUUUUUCCUCCAUUUCAUCCUGCACCCCGAUCUUCAUUUUCUUUCCUGUGUCCUCUCUGCUGCCACUCUCUGCCUCGUGUCCUCUGUGUCUGCGGGGCUGGGGAGGAACUUUAGCCCUCCUGGGGGCUGCCCCCCACCCCUUUCCUUGUGCCAGCAGGGUCCCUUUUUGGGGGCAUGGACCCGUGGGAAGGGUUCCCAUCAAGGGCCGUGCUGCCGUCCAGGGCAGCUGGAGCGGUUCUGUGCCUUCAUUUUGGGGGUGAGGGAAGAAGGCUG
Long non-coding RNA from Cinclus cinclus, 790 nucleotides. RefSeq lists it as uncharacterized. The record is from RefSeq and is a predicted model, not a curated record. Lineage: Eukaryota; Metazoa; Chordata; Aves; Passeriformes; Cinclidae. The transcript is spliced from 3 exons.